RNAcentral lists this ribosomal RNA (354 nucleotides) under Myurella affinis. RNAcentral's name for it is "partial 12S ribosomal RNA". Lineage: Eukaryota; Metazoa; Mollusca; Gastropoda; Neogastropoda; Terebridae. The record is from RNAcentral.
CCGGAGUACUAUGAAUAUUUAAACAUUUAAAACUUAAAGAACUUGGCGGUGUUUUAGACCACUUAGGGGAACCUGUCUCGUAAUCGACAAUCCGCGUUAAACCUGACCUUUUCUUGUUAUCAGUUUGUAUACCGUUGUCGUCAGGUAACUUUUUAGAAAUUAGAAGUUAGCGAUAAAAGCAAUUUAAUGACUUAGGACGUCAAAUCAAGGUGCAGCUAACGAAAAGGGGAGGAUGGGUUACAAUUAUUUGAUUUAUAAUAACGGACGAACAACAUGAAUAUGUUUCAAAUUAUAAGGUGGACUUGAAAGUAAAUUAGAUUAUAUAGAUAGUUUGAAUAAGGCUCUGAAACGUGU